RNAcentral lists this ribosomal RNA (328 nucleotides) under Bacillus velezensis. RNAcentral's name for it is "bacterial SSU rRNA". It matches the Rfam family "Bacterial small subunit ribosomal RNA", at positions 1 to 307 of the family's 1533-position model. Lineage: Bacteria; Bacillati; Bacillota; Bacilli; Caryophanales; Bacillaceae. The record is from RNAcentral.
UUAUCGGAGAGUUUGAUCCUGGCUCAGGACGAACGCUGGCGGCGUGCCUAAUACAUGCAAGUCGAGCGGACAGAUGGGAGCUUGCUCCCUGAUGUUAGCGGCGGACGGGUGAGUAACACGUGGGUAACCUGCCUGUAAGACUGGGAUAACUCCGGGAAACCGGGGCUAAUACCGGAUGCUUGUUUGAACCGCAUGGUUCAGACAUAAAAGGUGGCUUCGGCUACCACUUACAGAUGGACCCGCGGCGCAUUAGCUAGUUGGUGUGUGAGUAGCACACCAAGGGGAACUGCCGUUAUCCACCACGUACGCAGCCUGCGGAUGAGGCCGG